Molecule: non-coding RNA, 23 nt
Filed under: Cricetulus griseus (Chinese hamster)
Lineage: Eukaryota; Metazoa; Chordata; Mammalia; Rodentia; Cricetidae
Source: RNAcentral
UCCUUAGGCAACACUCUGUAGAG